ACGAACGCUGGCGGCAUGCCUAACCCCUGCCAGUCGAACGAGACCUUCGGGUCUAGUGGCGCACGGGUGCGUAACGCGUGGGAACCUGCCCUUAGGUUCGGAAUAACUCCCCGAAAGGGGUGCUAAUACCGGAUAAUGUCUUCGGACCAAAGAUUUAUCGCCUUUGGAUGGGCCCGCGUUGGAUUAGCUAGUUGGUAGGGUAAAAGCCUACCAAGGCGACGAUCCAUAGCUGGUCUGAGAGGAUGAGCAGCCACACUGGGACUGAGACACGGCCCAGACUCCUACGGGAGGCAGCAGUGGGGAAUAUUGGACAAUGGGCGAAAGCCUGAUCCAGCAAUGCCGCGUGAGUGAUGAAGGCCUUAGGGUUGUAAAGCUCUUUUACCCGGGAUGAUAAUGACAGUACCGGGAGAAUAAGCUCCGGCUAACUCCGUG
Molecule: ribosomal RNA, 432 nt
Filed under: uncultured bacterium
Lineage: Bacteria
Description: partial 16S ribosomal RNA
Rfam family: Bacterial small subunit ribosomal RNA
Source: RNAcentral